Molecule: ribosomal RNA, 945 nt
Filed under: Triticum aestivum (bread wheat)
Lineage: Eukaryota; Viridiplantae; Streptophyta; Magnoliopsida; Poales; Poaceae
Description: partial small subunit ribosomal RNA
Source: RNAcentral
AUGACGAGGCGGUGCUCGCACUGCAGCCACAACGGCCACAACUCGCGGACGUGCCCCAACCGCGGGGUCAAGAUCUUCGGGGUACGCCUCACUGAUGGAUCCAUCCGCAAGAGCGCCAGCAUGGGGAACCUCUCCCUGCUCGGGGGAUCCACCAGCGGCGGCGGCGGCGCAUCCCCCGCUGACGUCGGCCACGACGCCGCCGCAGAGGGCUACGCCUCCGACGACUUCGUGCAGGGAUCAUCAUCCGCCAACCGCGAGCGCAAGAAAGGGGUUCCUUGGACUGAAGAAGAACAUCGGAGGUUUUUGCUUGGACUGCAAAAGCUUGGAAAGGGUGAUUGGCGAGGAAUCUCUCGUAAUUUUGUGGUCUCAAGAACACCUACUCAAGUAGCAAGCCAUGCUCAGAAAUAUUUUAUACGCCAAGCCAAUAUGAGCAGAAGGAAGAGAAGGUCUAGCCUCUUUGACUUGGUGCCUGAUGAGUCAGACCUGCCACCCCUACCUGGUAAUCAAGAACCUGAGGCCCAGAUAUUAAAUCACCCACCAUUACCUCCACCCAUGGAGGAGGAGGAGGUAGAAUCUAUGGAGUCAGAUACUUCUGUCAUUGCAGAGAGUUCUUCAGCUUCUGCUAUCAUGCCUGAGAAUUUGCAGUCGAGCUAUCCGGUGCUAGUUCCAGCAUAUUUCUCACCAUUCUUGCAAUUCUCAGUUCCUUUCUGGCAAAAUCAGAAUGAUGGAGAUGAUCUUGGACAAGGAACACAUGAGAUUGUUAAGCCUGUUCCGGUUCAUUCAAAGAGUCCAAUCAAUGUUGAUGAACUGGUGGGCAUGUCGAAGCUAAGCAUAGGGGAUCCCAAGCAAGAUACAGUAUCUACCUCUCUUUCCUUAAAAAUGGUAGGAGGUCAAAAUAGACAAUCGGCUUUCCAGGCGAAUCUCCCAACGAGGGCUCAGGCGUGA